UACGUAGGGUGCAAGCGUUUGUCCGGAAUUAUUGGGCGUAAAGAGCUCGUAGGCGGUUCGUCGCGUCGGCUGUGAAAUCCCGGAGCUCAACUCCGGGUCUGCAGUCGAUACGGGCGGACUCGAGUUCGGCAGGGGAGACUGGAAUUCCUGGUGUAGCGGUGGAAUGCGUAGAGAUCCGGAAGAACACCAGUGGCGAAGGCGGCCCGCUGGGCAGUGGCUGACGCUGAGGCGCGACAGCGUGGGGGAGCAAACAGGA
This 256-nucleotide ribosomal RNA is filed under the name uncultured bacterium. RNAcentral's name for it is "partial 16S ribosomal RNA". It matches the Rfam family "Bacterial small subunit ribosomal RNA", at positions 524 to 777 of the family's 1533-position model. The record is from RNAcentral.